RNAcentral lists this ribosomal RNA (405 nucleotides) under uncultured bacterium. Its description in RNAcentral is "bacterial SSU rRNA". It matches the Rfam family "Bacterial small subunit ribosomal RNA", at positions 356 to 773 of the family's 1533-position model. The record is from RNAcentral.
GGGGAAUAUUGCACAAUGGGCGCAAGCCUGAUGCAGCGACGCCGCGUGAGGGAUGACGGCCUUCGGGUUGUAAACCUCUUUCAGCAGGGAAGAAGCGUAAGUGACGGUACCUGCAGAAGAAGCGCCGGCUAACUACGUGCCAGCAGCCGCGGUAAUACGUAGGGCGCAAGCGUUGUCCGGAAUUAUUGGGCGUAAAGAGCUCGUAGGCGGCUUGUCGCGUCGGGUGUGAAAGCCCGGGGCUUAACCCCGGGUCUGCAUUCGAUACGGGCAGGCUAGAGUGUGGUAGGGGAGAUCGGAAUUCCUGGUGUAGCGGUGAAAUGCGCAGAUAUCAGGAGGAACACCGGUGGCGAAGGCGGAUCUCUGGGCCAUUACUGACGCUGAGGAGCGAAAGCGUGGGGAGCGAAC